GCAGCUCAGUUGGUAGAGCAUGAGACUCUUAACUGCAGGAUCAUGAGUUCGAGUCUCACGUUGGGCA
Podarcis lilfordi (Lilford's wall lizard) is the source of this 67-nucleotide non-coding RNA. NCBI's taxonomy places the organism in Eukaryota, Metazoa, Chordata, Lepidosauria, Squamata, Lacertidae. The record is from the annotation of a GenBank genome assembly.